CCUACGGGGGGCAGCAGUGGGGAAUAUUGGACAAUGGGGGCAACCCUGAUCCAGCCAUGCCGCGUGUGUGAAGAAGGCCCUCGGGUUGUAAAGCACUUUCAGUGAGGAAGAACGCCUGGUGGUUAAUACCCAUCAGGAAAGACAUCACUCACAGAAGAAGCACCGGCUAACUCCGUGCCAGCAGCCGCGGUAAUACGGAGGGUGCGAGCGUUAAUCGGAAUUACUGGGCGUAAAGCGCGCGUAGGUGGCUUGAUAAGCCGGUUGUGAAAGCCCCGGGCUCAACCUGGGAACGGCAUCCGGAACUGUCAAGCUAGAGUGCAGGAGAGGAAGGUAGAAUUCCCGGUGUAGCGGUGAAAUGCGUAGAGAUCGGGAGGAAUACCAGUGGCGAAGGCGGCCUUCUGGACUGACACUGACACUGAGGUGCGAAAGCGUGGGUAACAAACAGGAUUAGAUACCCUAGUAGUC
Molecule: ribosomal RNA, 465 nt
Filed under: Vreelandella stevensii
Lineage: Bacteria; Pseudomonadati; Pseudomonadota; Gammaproteobacteria; Oceanospirillales; Halomonadaceae
Description: partial 16S ribosomal RNA
Rfam family: Bacterial small subunit ribosomal RNA
Source: RNAcentral